GGACUCAGAAAGGCAAAACAGCUUGCUCAAGGGCUCACAACUAUUUAGGUGGUAGAGCUAAGAUAUGAACCUACCUCUGACACCAAAGUGCACUUCAACACCCUACUAUCACCCAACAAAGAAUUCUGGCCACAGAAUCACCUUGCUGCGGUAUUCCUGACUGAAUCAAGAUACGCUGGGGAAGAGGCAUCUGAAGAUAGCCCGGGUUCUGACCUCGGCCCUGCUGCCUAACUGCCUGGUGACUUCAGGUAUUCUAAUCACAGAAUUACUGGAGCAUCAAGAAGUGCCUGCAUGCUUGGAAGGGCUUCCAGGCAGAUGAACACACCUCAGCACCGGGUGGCAUUUUCCCAGGGUGCAACCCGGACCGGCUCUGGGUCACACUGACAAGGACAACAGGGUUAACAAUUUCCAGAGACAGCCCGUACAUAGAAGGAAUGUUUACUGAAAAAAAUGAAGAGGGGUCAGGGCAAGGCGAGGAGCAAGAAGCACCCCCAAGGAAACAGAGAAGACCAGUACAACUGUACCUCUUUGCCAGCUGCACCAUCCGUACCAGUCUCCUGGGGUGGAAGUGUCCAGCACAGAGACUGCCACACUGCAAGACGAAGGGGCUGGACACACGGAAGAGAGAGGCGGAACCCUGCACCCCCUCAACCUCAGCCCUACUGAGUCUCCAAUGGGGCCACGCUUCUGAGUGCACCUCCCCGUGUCAUCUGUAAUGUGAGGGGGAACCAGGCUUGAUAUGGCAUUCCCAAUCCAGGGC
Molecule: long non-coding RNA, 760 nt
Filed under: Homo sapiens (human)
Lineage: Eukaryota; Metazoa; Chordata; Mammalia; Primates; Hominidae
Description: PEF1 and COL16A1 antisense RNA 1
Source: RNAcentral